AUUGAACGCUGGCGGCAGGCCUAACACAUGCAAGUCGAGCGGAUGAAGGGAGCUUGCGCCUGGAUUCAGCGGCGGACGGGUGAGUAAUGCCUAGGAAUCUGCCUGGUAGUGGGGGAUAACGUCCGGAAACGGGCGCUAAUACCGCAUACGUCCUGAGGGUGAAAGUGGGGGAUCUACGGACCUCACGCUAUCAGAUGAGCCUAGGUCGGAUUAGCUAGUUGGUGGGGUAAAGGCCUACCAAGGCGACGAUCCGUAACUGGUCUGAGAGGAUGAUCAGUCACACUGGAACUGAGACACGGUCCAGACUCCUACGGGAGGCAGCAGUGGGGAAUAUUGGACAAUGGGCGAAAGCCUGAUCCAGCCAUGCCGCGUGUGUGAAGAAGGUCUUCGGAUUGUAAAGCACUUUAAGUUGGGAGGAAGGGCAGUAAGUGAAUACCUUGCUGUUUUGACGUUACCAACAGAAUAAGCACCGGCUAACUUCGUG
This 484-nucleotide ribosomal RNA is filed under the name uncultured bacterium. Its description in RNAcentral is "partial 16S ribosomal RNA". It matches the Rfam family "Bacterial small subunit ribosomal RNA", at positions 30 to 507 of the family's 1533-position model. The record is from RNAcentral.